GGGGAAUCUUCCGCAAUGGACGAAAGUCUGACGGAGCAACGCCGCGUGAACGAUGACGGCCUUCGGGUUGUAAAGUUCUGUUAUACGGGACGAAGGGUACGACGGUCAAUACCCGUCGUAAGUGACGGUACCGUAAGAGAAAGCCACGGCUAACUACGUGCCAGCAGCCGCGGUAAUACGUAGGUGGCAAGCGUUGUACGGAAUUAUUGGGCGUAAAGCGCGCGCAGGCGUCUUCUUAAGUCCAUCUUAAAAGUGCGGGGCUUAACCCCGUGAUGGGAUGGAAACUGGGAGGCUGGAGUAUCGGAGAGGAAAGCGGAAUUCCUAGUGUAGCGGUGAAAUGCGUAGAUAUUAGGAGGAACACCAGUGGCGAGAGCGGCUUUCUUGACGACAACUGACGCUGAGGCGCGAAAGCCAGGGGAGCAAACG
This 426-nucleotide ribosomal RNA is filed under the name uncultured Megasphaera sp. Its description in RNAcentral is "bacterial SSU rRNA". It matches the Rfam family "Bacterial small subunit ribosomal RNA", at positions 356 to 774 of the family's 1533-position model. Lineage: Bacteria; Bacillati; Bacillota; Negativicutes; Veillonellales; Veillonellaceae. The record is from RNAcentral.